CAGCUGAAGAAGCCUGCUUUGUUGAUGGAGGUUGUUGGAAUGAUUCCCAAAAGAUCAUCCAUCUCAACAUCUACCCUGGAGGACAGAUGUGAAGCCAAGACCACUGGCCACAGAGCCAUAGCUCCCUCCAGGAGCCGCGCUAUUUCAACAAACAAUGCAACACUGGCCAGUACUGGGGGCAGUCAAUUAUUAAUGUCCUCAUGGAUGAGUGGUAUGUAUAUAAUGGCUGAGGCGAGGGAGAACUUGAUGUAAUACUAUAUCAAACAUAACUAAAAGUGCCUUGGGCAGAAAUGAUAACAGCAGUGCGAGGCGGGUUGAGGGAAGAUCUGUGUGCGGUGCUCCUCCCAUCUGCAUAAGAAUCAGAGUCCUCCUCUCAUCAUCUUGUGUGGAAAACAUGCUGUUGCUGCCGGCCAUGCCCAGCGAUGAGGUGUAACAUUAACGCAUGAGGAGGCCGAUCUCGGUCCCAUGUGUUUGCACACUCAUGCUGGGAGAGAAGACUCAGAUGCGAUUUGAUUGCUAUGUAAAGCGCAUGUAACAGCUCAAAGGCCCAGAGGUUGCCUUUGAAUUUUAUGAAUGUAGAUGAACUCGUAUUGGAAUCAACUCUAAAGUAGUGACUGUUUCUCUUCUGUACAUAUUUAAAACCUUAUGUUUCAGUAUAAUGUUCAUGACUUCCUAUGGGUCAUGCUUUUGUUUGUUUUUUUAAUCCUUGCACUUGGAGCUUGAGCUUGAGGAGCUUGCUAUAACUACUGCAGAGUGAAUGACUUGUUCUUCUGUAUGCAAAGGGUGCAGCAGUGGCCUGCUUCAGAUCAGCUCUGACUGUACCUGAGAAAGAAGGGUUGCAGAAGUGCAAGUGCAAACUGCUGAAGUGCCUUUAAACAGUCUGACACUUGUGGGCUUGUAUACAUGAAAGGUGUUGUGUUCAAAUGUAUACAUUAGACUGAAUUGCUGUAAUUUGCCUUACUUUCUAACCAGGCCAAUGGCUGCGUGAAAUGGAUGUCGGAUUGUCAUUUUGAUACAGUUAGAAAAAUCUUCAUGAAAAUCUAUAUAUUAAGCAUUUGUUUGGGGCCUGGUAAAACCUUUAGGUGGAUGCAAAGAAUGAAAUGCAACACAUCUAACAAAAGAGAAAUUAAAAGACUGAACCGCAACAUUCACUUCUUAAUACUGCUUCUGAAGACUUCAUUGUGCAAUUUCAUUCUCUUCAAGAUGGACCUGCCAAUCCAGACUGCACACAGUGUUUCAGCUUGAUGUUCAGUUGAUAGUGGUGAGAGCAGAUGAUGACAGUUGGGUGCAUUACACCGUGGGAUGACUUUGGAAAAAGAAUGACAGAAAGUGACAAGGCAACAGCCGAACGUAACAUUCGUCCUCCGCAAGUGCAGCACUCCUUCUUUGAAGCACUCAGCAGCGAACAAGCCACUUUAUUUUGACCUGCAGGUGCAGCACCUGUUGUUGGUCAGGCAUUGUUAUUGUGAGAGUCCCCACAGCUUCAGCUGAUGGGCAAAGAGAGGAGGGGGACAGAAAGAAGUUCACGCAUGUCUCAGAUCUCAACAGCAAAUGAUAGACGCGUAAUUCAGGAAUGAAUAAAGAUUAAAUGAAAUGAA
Molecule: long non-coding RNA, 1598 nt
Organism: Scatophagus argus
Lineage: Eukaryota; Metazoa; Chordata; Actinopteri; Scatophagidae
Exons: 2
Source: RefSeq, a predicted model, not a curated record